RNAcentral lists this ribosomal RNA (108 nucleotides) under Caerostris darwini. The record is from RNAcentral. Lineage: Eukaryota; Metazoa; Arthropoda; Arachnida; Araneae; Araneidae.
GGCCGUACCAUGCUGAAUAUACCGGUUCUCGUUAGAUCACCGAAGUUAAGCAUCAUUGGGCGCGGUCAGUACUUGGGUGGGUGACCACCUGGGAACACUGCGUGCAGU